Molecule: ribosomal RNA, 556 nt
Filed under: Paenalicyclobacillus disulfidooxidans
Lineage: Bacteria; Bacillati; Bacillota; Bacilli; Caryophanales; Alicyclobacillaceae
Description: bacterial SSU rRNA
Rfam family: Bacterial small subunit ribosomal RNA
Source: RNAcentral
UACGGGGGCAGCAGUAGGGAUUCUUCCACAAUGGGCGAAAACCCUGAUGGAGCAACGCCGCGUGAGUGAUGAAGGCCUUUGGGUUGUAAAACUCUGUCUUCUGUGACGAACAAGCCUGUGAGUAAAAUGCUCAGGCCCUGACGGUAACAGAGGAGGAAGCCACGGCUAACUACGUCACCAGCAGCCGCGGUAAUACGUAGGUGGCAAGUCGUUGUCCGGAAUCACUGGGCGUAAAGCGCGCGCAGGCGGCGAUCUAUCGUCUGGGGUGAAAGCCCGGAGCUCAACUCCGGGACUGCCUUGGAUACGGGAUCGCUUGAGAAUUGGAGAGGCAAGGGGAAUUCCACGUGUAGCGGUGAAAUGCGUAGAUAUGUGGAGGAACACCUGUGGCGAAGGCGCCUUGCUGGCCAAUUUCUGACGCUGAGGCGCGAAAGCGUGGGGAGCAAACAGGAUUAGAUACCCUGGUAGUCCACGCCGUAAACGAUGAGUGCUAGGUGUUGGGGGGUACCACCCUCAGUGCCGAAGCUAACGCAUUAAGCACUCCGCUGGGAGUACGUCG